UGGGGAAUUUUGGACAAUGGGCGAAAGCCUGAUCCAGCAAUGCCGCGUGUGUGAAGAAGGCCUUCGGGUUGUAAAGCACUUUUGUCCGGAAAGAAAUCCUUGGCUCUAAUGCAGUCGGGGGAUGACGGUACCGGAAGAAUAAGCACCGGCUAACUACGUGCCAGCGGCCGCGGUAAUACGUAGGGUGCAAGCGUUAAUCGGAAUUACUGGGCGUAAAGCGUGCGCAGGCGGUUUGCUAAGACCGAUGUGAAAUCCCCGGGCUCAACCUGGGAACUGCAUUGGUGACUGGCAGGCUAGAGUAUGGCAGAGGGGGGUAGAAUUCCACGUGUAGCAGUGAAAUGCGUAGAGAUGUGGAGGAAUACCGAUGGCGAAGGCAGCCCCCUGGGCCAAUACUGACGCUCAUGCACGAAAGCGUGGGGAGCAAACAGGAUUAGAUACCCUGGUAGUCCACGCCCUAAACGAUGUCAACUAGUUGUUGGGGAUUCAUUUCCUUAGUAACGUAGCUAACGCGUGAAGUUGACCGCCUGGGGAGUACGGUCGCAAGAUUAAAACUUAAAGGAAUUGACGGGG
Molecule: ribosomal RNA, 570 nt
Filed under: uncultured bacterium
Lineage: Bacteria
Description: partial 16S ribosomal RNA
Rfam family: Bacterial small subunit ribosomal RNA
Source: RNAcentral